UAGCCGCGUGCCUAUAAUGCAGUCGAGCGAAUGGAUUAAGAGCUUGCUCUUAUGAAGUUAGCGGCGGACGGGUGAGUAACACGUGGGUAACCUGCCCAUAAGACUGGGAUAACUCCGGGAAACCGGGGCUAAUACCCGAUAACAUUUUGAACCGCAGGGUUCGAAAUUGAAAGGCGGCUUCGGCUGUCACUUAUGGAUGGACCCGCGUCGCAUUAGCUAGUUGGUGAGGUAACGGCUCACCAAGGCAACGAUGCGUAGCCGACCUGAGAGGGUGAUCGGCCACACUGGGACUGAGACACGGCCCAGACUCCUACGGGAGGCAGCAGUAGGGAAUCUUCCGCAAUGGACGAAAGUCUGACGGAGCAACGCCGCGUGAGUGAUGAAGGCUUUCGGGUCGUAAAACUCUGUUGUUAGGGAAGAACAAGUGCUAGUUGAAUAAGCUGGCACCUUGACGGUACCUAACCAGAAAGCCACGGCUAACUACGUGCCAGCAGCCGCGGUAAUACGUAGGUGGCAAGCGUUAUCCGGAAUUAUUGGGCGUAAAGCGCGCGCAGGUGGUUUCUUAAGUCUGAUGUGAAAGCCCACGGCUCAACCGUGGAGGGUCAUUGGAAACUGGGAGACUUGAGUGCAGAAGAGGAAAGUGGAAUUCCAUGUGUAGCGGUGAAAUGCGUAGAGAUAUGGAGGAACACCACUCGCGAAGGCUACUUUCUGGUCUGUAACUGACACUGAGGCGCUAAAACGUG
Molecule: ribosomal RNA, 743 nt
Filed under: Bacillus cereus
Lineage: Bacteria; Bacillati; Bacillota; Bacilli; Caryophanales; Bacillaceae
Description: bacterial SSU rRNA
Rfam family: Bacterial small subunit ribosomal RNA
Source: RNAcentral